CCAGACUCCUACGGGAGGCAGCAGUGAGGAAUAUUGGUCAAUGGGCGAGAGCCUGAACCAGCCAAGUCGCGUGAAGGAUGACGGCCCUACGGGUUGUAAACUUCUUUUGUCAGGGAGCAAUUGGGUCCACGCGUGGGCUUAGCGAGAGUACCUGAAGAAAAAGCAUCGGCUAACUCCGUGCCAGCAGCCGCGGUAAUACGGAGGAUGCGAGCGUUAUCCGGAUUUAUUGGGUUUAAAGGGUGCGCAGGCGGAGGUGCAAGUCAGCGGUCAAAUUGCGGGGCUCAACCCCGUACUGCCGUUGAAACUGCAUCCCUUGAGUGCGCGAGAAGUAUGCGGAAUGCGUGGUGUAGCGGUGAAAUGCAUAGAUAUCACGCAGAACUCCGAUUGCGAAGGCAGCAUACCGGCGCGCAACUGACGCUCAUGCACGAAAGCGUGGGUAUCGAACAGGAUUAGAUACCCUUGUA
Molecule: ribosomal RNA, 464 nt
Filed under: uncultured bacterium
Lineage: Bacteria
Description: bacterial SSU rRNA
Rfam family: Bacterial small subunit ribosomal RNA
Source: RNAcentral